AGCAAACGCUGGCGGCAGGCCUAACACAUGCAAGUCGAACGAACCUUUCGGGGUUAGUGGCGGACGGGUGAGUAACACGUGGGAACGUGCCUUUAGGUUCGGAAUAACUCAGGGAAACUUGUGCUAAUACCGAAUGUGCCCUUCGGGGGAAAGAUUAAUCGCCUUUAGAGCGGCCCGCGUCUGAUUAGCUAGUUGGUUGAGGUAAUGGCUCACCAAGGCGACGAUCAGUAGCUGGUCUGAGAGGAUGAUCAGCCACAUUGGGACUGAGACACGGCCCAAACUCCUACGGGAAGCAGCAGUGGGGAAUCUUGCGCAAUGGGCGAAAGCCUGACGCAGCCAUGCCGCGUGAAUGAUGAAGGUCUUAGGAUUGUAAAAUUCUUUCACCGGGGACGAUAAUGACGGUACCCGGAGAAGAAGCCCCGGCUAACUUCGUG
Molecule: ribosomal RNA, 434 nt
Filed under: uncultured bacterium
Lineage: Bacteria
Description: partial 16S ribosomal RNA
Rfam family: Bacterial small subunit ribosomal RNA
Source: RNAcentral